Molecule: long non-coding RNA, 3983 nt
Organism: Lolium perenne
Lineage: Eukaryota; Viridiplantae; Streptophyta; Magnoliopsida; Poales; Poaceae
Source: RefSeq, a predicted model, not a curated record
CAAUGGCAACUCUGACGCUGUGCACACGUUGUUCCUGUCCCGCCCACCUCCAUGGAAUACUCGAAAGCAAUGAUGGGGAAUACAAUUGUCUGUGGUAGUUCAGACUAAUCCAUUCUAUUCUGAUGCGCAAUUCAAGUUGAAGCCAUAGGUUUGCCAAAAAAGUUAAAUCCAUUGUUCUGUAUCUCAAACUGUAGCAGCAUUCCUUUUCGAAGUUGGUCAAGAUUAGCUCUUUUAAAAGUUGAACCAAUACCUCUCCAGUUUCCUGAAGCGCAAUGCCUGCGUGUGUGUGUGAACAUGACAUAGUUGACAGUAAACACAUGCAGUGCACUUUGUUUUCUUAUCAUAUAAAUGAGAGCUUGACAGUAGCUCAUGUACACCUCAAAUCAUCAAGUGCUAAGUUCCAAGUCCAGUGAUCUGCUUGAAUCAGACCUCACUGUAUGUUGAAUCAAAUUAAUCUUUCUCUCCGGAGUUUGAUGUACGAUGAUUAUUCUUUUCGAAAACGAUCGCAAGAGGUUCGGAUGUCACUUUCGAAGGUGCCUAUGAACUAUGCAUUAGGAAAUGCCACAUAUAAGUACUAGAUAUGCAUUUCCUUGUUUCUUGGGAGUUAUUGUUAAUGAUCUUUAUUCUCUUUGGAUAUAUGCAUGGCUGAUGAAGGCAUUUGUUUUCUUUCAAGCCAGCGGUACUGAAUCAUGCUUCCUGCUAUUCACAAGGAAGUGGAAAACAGCUGAUGAAUAAUCAGAGUGUUCUAUCUGCUUUUUAUUUCAUCCUUCAUUACGAUGGUGAUAUUCUAAAUCUGGGGCUUUAAGGUAUGGUUUCUUCUUCAACUGUUCCCUUGGAGAAAUGUCUAUUCUAUCUACAACAAUGGUGGCCUCCUUCUUAUCUUGGAGCUAUAUUUUAGUGCCUCUUUGAUCAUUGUCAUUGUGCAAAGCUCUUCAUGUUAUUUAUUUUUGUCUCUUGCAUACAACAAAAAGUAUGUAUACCCAACUUUGAAACCCUCCUGAAAGUUGCAUGGAAUUAUUUACAUCGACACAUGAUGCUCGGACAUGUGAAACUAAUCUGCGUGGAAACUAGCAUUGCCAAUUUGUGGAACUUCAUAUUUCAUAUUAUGGUUCUGAUGGUAUAUAAAUCUAUAUGUCUAGGCAAAUGACCUUGAGAUAUGGCUAAUGUAUUUAUUCAUUAUUUGCACAAUAACUACUCUCCCCAAACAUGUAAGAUCUGAUGUUUGUAUCACAAUAAUAAGAAAGUUUUGAUCUGAGCGACCUUGACGGAUCGAAACAGAUGAAUGUCAUCGUCUAAAUCAUUUUCAAGGUCCUCUGAGAAGAUGAAUGUUCGGUGCUGGUGUGGUGAUGGUGUCGAGGUGGGAGAGGAACAGGGCGAUGAAUUUGAAGGAGGAUGCAGAGGAGGAGGACAACCACUUCGAUCUAGCGAUCACUGUACGUCGCGCUGUCGGCAUGUCGUGCCAGAACUGCUUCCGGGAUGUGAUUACACCACUAGGGCGCCUUCUCUAGGUAAAUGAUGUUAAGAAUCCUCCCACAGACAGCCAGUGUACUUGAUCCAUGAUCAAUUAUGUUGCGCGUCAUUCGUGGAUUUUCUUUUUGUUCCAUCUGUUAGAAGUUGCAAGCUCGACCUGUUUCUUCAUUUUGAUGAUGCUACGCCAGUUGUACUGCAUGGUUCAGUUUAUCAUCUCCUUUGGUGCAUGCAAUAUACAAAUUGAUAGAUAUUGCCGUUGUGGUUUUCUUUACUGUUUCAUAUAUUCUGCCCGCUGAUAAGUUUUGAUCUCAAUGGUGAUGAGUUGGAAGUCUGAAUACGUUCUAUGGUACCGAUUUGGGAUUUUGGGUACAUACUUAUGCCUAUUUUCACCAUACUCAGGUACAUUUUCAUUGUGACAAUCUAUUACUGUUUUGUCUCUUAUUAUAUUCAUGUCCUAUAUGCAAAUAUUUCAUAAAGAACUAAAGUUAUCUGGUCUAUAACAAACAACUGGACUAUGUGUGAAAUGCACAACUUUGGAAACCAUAUUUUAGGUUUUGCUUCCGAAUUGGCCCGCACCUACACGCCCGCCCCCUAGCCUUCCCCGCCCCUGUACUCUAAGCUCAACGCCUACUCCUCGAAUAAGGAGCAGCUGCCUCGUGUGCACCGCGUUCUUGCUUCUUUUGCACUCGAGUUUUCCAGCGUUCGUCAUAUCUAUGUUCAACUAUAUGACACACCAUGACACCAAUAAAUUAGACGAUAGGCAUGUAUACCUAUUACUUCUAUUUUCUAAUUUCAGUACAGUUGAUUUACAGAACUAGAAUUCAAGGAUCCUUGGGUAAGUGCUAUUCCAAAACUGGAGGAAUUCAAGAGUAGUAUGUCCGAGGCAACAUAGAUUAGUAUAUCCCAAGUUCCAUGUCUGUUUAUGAAAUCAUGUUACUAUAAUCUUUCCCUAGCCAUUUUAGUGCCUCUUUUUUUUAUUUGUGCUCCUAAGAGAUGUGAUUGCACCUGAAAUGACAUUCACGUUUUGCUUUCUGGUUAGCCCUUGGUCAGCGUUACAAGACAGGUAGAAAGAAACUUGUGCUGUAUAGAGUUCAUUUAUAGCCAACCACAUCAAUUUUGGAAACAUGUUGUAUAGAGUUAGAGUUCAUUUAUAGCCAACCACAUCAAUUUUGGAAACAUGUUGUAUAGAGUUAGUGUCUCCUAGACAAUAUUUAUCAGCGACUGUCCGCUUUCUUGCAUACAAUUGACACUGUUAUUGUUAGGAUACCAUUAGGCAUUGCCAUGUAGUAUGGAAAAAAAAGAAACGAGCAUACGAGGUUAAUUUUAAUUCCAAUCUAUUAUUUACAGGUCAAGGAUCAAAGUUACAUCCAAUGCAAAACUUUCAAGUACAGGUUGGGCAGAUUCUAAUCUAUUUUACUUUACCAUUUGCUGCUAUAUGAACAUGAAUAAAUUUAAAAGGAUCAAAACCACAUUAUUAUGAUAUCAGUUCUUUAUUUAUAUGAAUAUCGCGGCAUGCCUUAAUGCAAGUGGCUAAAUUAACUUCUUUCCGGUCUGCUUAUAAAAUGAGUGGAUCUGCUUUACUUCUUCUAUUUAUUACAUGGAUCAUUUGCUUGCAUAUAUCUAAUUGCUCAUAUAGUAACCAACCUAUAUUGCUUUGAGGAGACAAAAAGAAUAGUGUUGUACAUAUAUACAAAUUCUCCAGAUCUUUCUAUUUAAAUCUUAACCACUAUUUUUUGAUGACGUUGUUUGUAGUUUACCACUACAACAUUGAUGUUUUACAAUUUACAUCUUUCUUGUAUUCUAUAGAAAGCAACAAUGGAGAAAAUAUAUUGUUUAGAUUGAUUGAUCGGUUAAUUCCGUCGUGUCCUAUUUCAUUUUGGAGGAGAUGAGGUGAGCCUGCCUGGUUCUUCCAGCCGCCCUCCAUACACAAUUAGGUGGGAUGGGAUUAAGUAGCUCCAUUUUUGGCACAAAUAAUCGCUUCCGCUUAUUGAAAUUGGGCACUAACACUUUGAGAACCACAUUUUAUUUAUUUGUUGUUGAUCGUUAUGUCUGACUAUGAGAAUAGGGAAGACCCUACAAGAAAUUUCCCUACUCAGCUACUUGAAGAUCGAAUCAAUUGCACAUGGGACAUCUCAUAUGUACUUUACCAUCUCUAAUUUAAUGUUUCUCUAAGAGAGUGUAUUGUUCUAGCAUUCCAAUUUAUCUCAUAAGGGUGGUGUUCUUUCGGGAGUAUGCCCUCUAAUACUACUUCCAUUAUAAAUCCUUGCAAAGUAUUUUUCAUCCAUCAAGAUUUAAUGUACUUUUUUUUUCUUUAACCAAUGUAGGAGCCAGAACAAGAACUAUCUUGCCAAAGAUCUGCUAUGGUAGAAAAUGGCACUGUUGUAGGAGGUUUAGUAGGUGGUUUGGUGUCACCUAAAUUAUUCUGAUUUUGGUUGUCAAUCAUAAAAUCUUUUCGAUAAAUAUAUUGUCAGAUGACUCAAGCAUUGUAACUCUGAAAUACCUUUAAUAUCCAA